GACGAACGCUGGCGGCGUGCCUAAUACAUGCAAGUUGAGCGCUGAAGGUUGGUACUUGUACCAACUGGAUGAGCAGCGAACGGGUGAGUAACGCGUGGGGAAUCUGCCUUUGAGCGGGGGACAACAUUUGGAAACGAAUGCUAAUACCGCAUAAAAACUUUAAACACAAGUUUUAAGUUUGAAAGAUGCAAUUGCAUCACUCAAAGAUGAUCCCGCGUUGUAUUAGCUAGUUGGUGAGGUAAAGGCUCACCAAGGCGAUGAUACAUAGCCGACCUGAGAGGGUGAUCGGCCACAUUGGGACUGAGACACGGCCCAAACGCCUACGGGAGGCAGCAGUAGGGAAUCUUCGGCAAUGGACGAAAGUCUGACCGAGCAACGCCGCGUGAGUGCAGAAGGUUUUCGGAUCGUAAAACUCUGUUGGUAGAGAAGAACGUUGGUGAGAGUGGAAAGCUCAUCAAGUGACGGUAACUACACAGAAAGGGACGGCUAACUACGUG
Molecule: ribosomal RNA, 497 nt
Filed under: uncultured bacterium
Lineage: Bacteria
Description: partial 16S ribosomal RNA
Rfam family: Bacterial small subunit ribosomal RNA
Source: RNAcentral